RNAcentral lists this ribosomal RNA (1216 nucleotides) under metagenome. Its description in RNAcentral is "bacterial SSU rRNA". It matches the Rfam family "Archaeal small subunit ribosomal RNA", at positions 1 to 1202 of the family's 1478-position model. The record is from RNAcentral.
UCCGGUUGAUCCUGCCGGACCCCACUGCUAUCGGGAUAGGACUAAGACACGCUAGUUGAGCGCUUCCAGCCAACACGGGAGCGCAGCGCACAGCUCAGUAACACGUGGCUAAUCUGCCCUUGGGACCGGAACACCCCCGGGAAACUGGGGCUAAUUCUCGAUAGGUGAAGAACUCUGGAAUGAGUCUUUGCCAAAAAGACGUUUACGUUAUGCACGUAGGCGUCGCCCAAGGAUGAGGCCGCGACCGAUCAGGUUGUUGGUGAGGUAAUGGCUCACCAAGCCUUUUACCGGUGCGGGCCGUGAGAGCGGGAGCCCGGAGAUGGGCACUGAGACAAGGGCCCAGGCCCUACGGGGCGCAGCAGUCGCGAAAACUUUGCAAUACACGAAAGUGUGACAGGGCUAUCCCGAGUGCCAUCCGCUGAGGAAGGCUUUUACCCAGUCUAGAACGCUGGGGGAAUAAGGAGAGGGCAAGUCUGGUGUCAGCCGCCGCGGUAAUACCAGCUCUCCGAGUGGUGUGGAUGUUUAUUGGGCCUAAAGCAUCCGUAGCCGGCUGAGUUAGUCCCUUGUUAAAUCCACCGAAUUAAUCGUUGGAUUGCGGGGGAUACUGCUCGGCUAGGGGACGAGAGAGGCAGACGGUAUUUCCGGGGUAGGGGUGAAAUCCUAUAAUCCCGGGAAGACCACCAGUGGCGAAGGCUGUCUGCUAGAACGCGCCCGACGGUGAGGGAUGAAAGCUGGGGGAGCGAACCGGAUUAGAUACCCGGGUAGUCCCAGCUGUAAACGAUGCAGGCUAGGUGUUUGGACGGCCACGUGCCGUUCUAGUGCCGCAGGGGAGCUGUUAAGCCUGCCGCCUGGGGAGUACGAUCGCAAGAUUGAAACUUAAAGGAAUUGGCGGGGGAGCACCACAAGGGGUGAAGCUUGCGGUUUAAUUGGAGCAACGCCGGAAAUCUCACCGGGAGCGACAGCAGUAUGAAGGCCAGAUUAAAGGUCUUGCCAGACGAGCUGAGAGGAGGUGCAUGGCCGUCGCCAGUUCGUGCCGUGAGGUGUCCUGUUAAGUCAGGCAACGAUCGAGACCCGCGUCCUCUGUUGCAACUAGCUUUGAGCUGGGCACACUGAGGAGACCGCCACUGAUAAAGUGGAGGAGGGAGCGGGCCACGGCAGGUCAGUAUGCCCCGAAUCUCCCGGGCCACACGCGAGCUGCAAUGGCAGGUACAAUGGG